AGCCCAGAGCCUGAAUCAGUGUGUGUGUUAGUGGAAGCGUCUGGAAAGGCGCGCGAUACAGGGUGACAGCCCCGUACACAAAAAUGCACAUGCUGUGAGCUCGAUGAGUAGGGCGGGACACGUGGUAUCCUGUCUGAAUAUGGGGGGACCAUCCUCCAAGGCUAAAUACUCCUGACUGACCGAUAGUGAACCAGUACCGUGAGGGAAAGGCGAAAAGAACCCCGGCGAGGGGAGUGAAAAAGAACCUGAAACCGUGUACGUACAAGCAGUGGGAGCAUGCUUAGGCGUGUGACUGCGUACCUUUUGUAUAAUGGGUCAGCGACUUAUAUUCUGUAGCAAGGUUAACCGAAUAGGGGAGCCGAAGGGAAACCGAGUCUUAACUGGGCGUUAAGUUGCAGGGUAUAGACCCGAAACCCGGUGAUCUAGCCAUGGGCAGGUUGAAGGUUGGGUAACACUAACUGGAGGACCGAACCGACUAAUGUUGAAAAAUUAGCGGAUGACUUGUGGCUGGGGGUGAAAGGCCAAUCAAACCGGGAGAUAGCUGGUUCUCCCCGAAAGCUAUUUAGGUAGCGCCUCGUGAACUCAUCUCCGGGGGUAGAGCACUGUUUCGGCAAGGGGGUCAUCCCGACUUACCAACCCGAUGCAAACUGCGAAUACCGGAGAAUGUUAUCACGGGAGACACACGGCGGGUGCUAACGUCCGUCGUGAAGAGGGAAACAACCCAGACCGCCAGCUAAGGUCCCAAAGUCAUGGUUAAGUGGGAAACGAUGUGGGAAGGCCCAGACAGCCAGGAUGUUGGCUUAGAAGCAGCCAUCAUUUAAAGAAAGCGUAAUAGCUCACUGGUCGAGUCGGCCUGCGCGGAAGAUGUAACGGGGCUAAACCAUGCACCGAAGCUGCGGCAGCGACGCUUAUGCGUUGUUGGGUAGGGGAGCGUUCUGUAAGCCUGCGAAGGUGUGCUGUGAGGCAUGCUGGAGGUAUCAGAAGUGCGAAUGCUGACAUAAGUAACGAUAAAGCGGGUGAAAAGCCCGCUCGCCGGAAGACCAAGGGUUCCUGUCCAACGUUAAUCGGGGCAGGGUGAGUCGACCCCUAAGGCGAGGCCGAAAGGCGUAGUCGAUGGGAAACAGGUUAAUAUUCCUGUACUUGGUGUUACUGCGAAGGGGGGACGGAGAAGGCUAUGUUGGCCGGGCGACGGUUGUCCCGGUUUAAGCGUGUAGGCUGGUUUUCCAGGCAAAUCCGGAAAAUCAAGGCUGAGGCGUGAUGACGAGGCACUACGGUGCUGAAGCAACAAAUGCCCUGCUUCCAGGAAAAGCCUCUAAGCAUCAGGUAACAUCAAAUCGUACCCCAAACCGACACAGGUGGUCAGGUAGAGAAUACCAAGGCGCUUGAGAGAACUCGGGUGAAGGAACUAGGCAAAAUGGUGCCGUAACUUCGGGAGAAGGCACGCUGAUAUGUAGGUGAAGUCCCUCGCGGAUGGAGCUGAAAUCAGUCGAAGAUACCAGCUGGCUGCAACUGUUUAUUAAAAACACAGCACUGUGCAAACACGAAAGUGGACGUAUACGGUGUGACGCCUGCCCGGUGCCGGAAGGUUAAUUGAUGGGGUCAGCGCAAGCGAAGCUCUUGAUCGAAGCCCCGGUAAACGGCGGCCGUAACUAUAACGGUCCUAAGGUAGCGAAAUUCCUUGUCGGGUAAGUUCCGACCUGCACGAAUGGCGUAAUGAUGGCCAGGCUGUCUCCACCCGAGACUCAGUGAAAUUGAACUCGCUGUGAAGAUGCAGUGUACCCGCGGCAAGACGGAAAGACCCCGUGAACCUUUACUAUAGCUUGACACUGAACAUUGAGCCUUGAUGUGUAGGAUAGGUGGGAGGCUUUGAAGUGUGGACGCCAGUCUGCAUGGAGCCGACCUUGAAAUACCACCCUUUAAUGUUUGAUGUUCUAACGUUGACCCGUAAUCCGGGUUGCGGACAGUGUCUGGUGGGUAGUUUGACUGGGGCGGUCUCCUCCUAAAGAGUAACGGAGGAGCACGAAGGUUGGCUAAUCCUGGUCGGACAUCAGGAGGUUAGUGCAAUGGCAUAAGCCAGCUUGACUGCGAGCGUGACGGCGCGAGCAGGUGCGAAAGCAGGUCAUAGUGAUCCGGUGGUUCUGAAUGGAAGGGCCAUCGCUCAACGGAUAAAAGGUACUCCGGGGAUAACAGGCUGAUACCGCCCAAGAGUUCAUAUCGACGGCGGUGUUUGGCACCUCGAUGUCGGCUCAUCACAUCCUGGGGCUGAAGUAGGUCCCAAGGGUAUGGCUGUUCGCCAUUUAAAGUGGUACGCGAGCUGGGUUUAGAACGUCGUGAGACAGUUCGGUCCCUAUCUGCCGUGGGCGCUGGAGAACUGAGGGGGGCUGCUCCUAGUACGAGAGGACCGGAGUGGAC
This 2412-nucleotide ribosomal RNA is filed under the name human gut metagenome. RNAcentral describes it as "bacterial LSU rRNA". It matches the Rfam family "Bacterial large subunit ribosomal RNA", at positions 296 to 2702 of the family's 2925-position model. The record is from RNAcentral.